ACCGGAUGUCGGAAAAGGUUU
RNAcentral lists this microRNA (21 nucleotides) under Oryza sativa (Asian cultivated rice). RNAcentral describes it as "osa-miR1441". Lineage: Eukaryota; Viridiplantae; Streptophyta; Magnoliopsida; Poales; Poaceae. RNAcentral also lists the same sequence under 1 other name. The record is from miRBase by way of RNAcentral.